RNAcentral lists this ribosomal RNA (165 nucleotides) under uncultured bacterium. RNAcentral's name for it is "partial 16S rRNA". It matches the Rfam family "Bacterial small subunit ribosomal RNA", at positions 354 to 511 of the family's 1533-position model. The record is from RNAcentral.
GUAGGGAAUCUUCCACAAUGGACGAAAGUCUGAUGGAGCAACGCCGCGUGAGUGAAGAAGGGUUUCGGCUCGUAAAACUCUGUUGUUAAAGAAGAACAUAUCUGAGAGUAACUGUUCAGGUAUUGACGGUAUUUAACCAGAAAGCCACGGCUAACUACGUGCUAG